AAAAGAAAAUGAUCUUUGUUUCCAAUGAAUAAUGUUUGGAAAUGACCAAAUAAAAUAAUGUUAAAAAAAUUCCAGACUCCCUCUUCUCCCCUAAGUUUCUGGUGCUUUCCAAGGUGCGUAGCCUCUUCCAGGUGAGACUCCAACAUGCUCCCACCUGUCUUCUCUGUUCCAGGCUAAAUAUCCUCAUUUCCUUCAAUCAGUCCUCAAGGCCCUUCCCUCUGGGUUUAAGCUCCCCAGUUUAUCAAUGUCUUGUCUAAAAUUUGGAGCCAAGAACUAAGCACAUACCCCAGAUGGGAUCUGAGCAAUCCCAUUCACAUUCACUUCCAGCCUGCUACAGCCUCCAAAUCUUUUUUUGAGACUAGCUCUUGCUUAGCCAUGCCUUCCCCAUCUUGUAGUUAUGAAGCUGAUUGAAGCCAAGUGUAAGGGGUGGGGGUAAUUAACUUUCCCCUGCUGAAUUUGAUGAGUUCCUCCAAUUAACCUGAUGAGACUAUAAAGCAUCUGGGGAGGGGAGAGAAAGAAUCCAAGAACUUCUCUUCAUAAAGUAUCGAGAGGUCCAGGGAACUUCCGUGCCUGGUUGACAGAUUCAAGAGAAUGGACUUAUUGUGGAACUUCCAUUUCUGUGAACCUUAAAGAGAGGCAGCUUUCUUUCUUUUUCUCAUUCUUUUCUGGACUCCUUCACCUUUACCUUUGUGCCUUCUGGUAUAGUGUGGAGAGCUAGAAGAUAAGAGUUCUCCUUCCCACUUACCCUGAAGUAGUUGAAGACUAUUUGCAGCGUAAAUGACAUUAUUUUGCCUGGUGGCUUGAGAGAGAAGUUAUGGGACUUCAAGUUCCUGGCUAUCUUCUGCCUUUCAUUUUUCUUUUAUGGGAAAAAUCAGAAAUGAAAAUUUGAGAAUGGACUUUCCCAUGUCAAGAAAUGAUAGCAGUUGAGACACAAGGAGUUUUCCUAGGGAACCACAUAACAAAAAUGAUGUGUGAUGACAUAUUUGAUCCACAUUCCAGGUUCGCAAGAGCAACAGAUGAAGAAAUUGACUUGCCUAGGAUACCAGGAUAACAGAAGAGGUAUGGAUCAGGACUCGGAAGUCUUUCAACCUUUAAGUCCCACUGUUUUCUCUCCUAUCUACUGA
Molecule: long non-coding RNA, 1124 nt
Filed under: Monodelphis domestica (gray short-tailed opossum)
Lineage: Eukaryota; Metazoa; Chordata; Mammalia; Didelphimorphia; Didelphidae
Description: lncRNA (ENSMODG00000041969.1)
Source: RNAcentral